CCUACGGGAGGCUGCAGUAGGGAAUAUUGGUCAAUGGGUGAGAGCCUGAACCAGCCAUGCCGCGUGCAGGAAGACGGCCUUCUGGGUUGUAAACUGCUUUUAUCUGGGGAUAAAAAGGCCUUGCGAGGCACAUUGAAGGUACCAGAUGAAUACGCACCGGCUAACUACGUGCCAGCAGCCGCGGUCAUACGUAGGGUGCACGCGUUUUCCGGAUUUAUUGGGUUUGAAGGCGGUCUAUUAAGUCAGUUAUGAAAUCCAACAGCUCAACUGUUGAUGUGCCAAUGAUACUGAUGGACUUGAGUACAGACGAGGUAGGCGGAAUUGACAGUGUAGCGGUGAAAUGCAUAGAUAUUGUCAAGAACACCGAUAGCGAAGGCAGCUUGCUAGCCUGUAACUGACGCUGAGGCACGAAAGUAUGGGGAUCAAACAGGAUUAGAUACCCCUGUAGUC
Molecule: ribosomal RNA, 450 nt
Filed under: uncultured bacterium
Lineage: Bacteria
Description: partial 16S ribosomal RNA
Rfam family: Bacterial small subunit ribosomal RNA
Source: RNAcentral